This 443-nucleotide ribosomal RNA is filed under the name uncultured bacterium. RNAcentral's name for it is "partial 16S ribosomal RNA". It matches the Rfam family "Bacterial small subunit ribosomal RNA", at positions 338 to 795 of the family's 1533-position model. The record is from RNAcentral.
CCUACGGGGGGCAGCAGUGGGGAAUAUUGGGCAAUGGGCGAAAGCCUGACCCAGCAACGCCGCGUGAAGGAAGAAGGCUUUCGGGUUGUACACUUCUUUUGUCAGGGACGAAGCAAGUAACGGUACCUGACGAAUAAGCCACGGCUAACUACGGGCCAGCAGCCGCGGUAAUACGUAGUUGGCAAGCGUUAUCCGGAUUUACUGGGUGUAAAGGGCGUGUAGGCGGGACUGCAAGUCAGAUGUGAAAACCACGGGCUCAACCUGUGGCCUGCAUUUGAAACUGUAGUUCUUGAGUACUGGAGAGGCUGACGGAAUUCCUAGUGUAGCGGUGAAAUGCGUAGAUAUUAGGAGGAACACCAGUGGCGAAGGCGGUCUGCUGGACAGCAACUGACGCUGAGGCGCGAAAGCGUGGGGAGCAAACAGGAUUAGAUACCCCUGUAGUC